UAGGGAGACCUAAUCCAUUUAGAAAUCGAAGGUGAUGAAAAUUGCCAAUAGAAACUAAAUUGGUCUAACCUAGGUUGGUCGAGAUUGGGAAAAAUCUUUCAAAGUAUUAUUUCGGCUUAGUUAAAUAGGAAAAAAGACAGCACCUAACUAUAAAAGUUAGAAUGCUGGAUGAAAUUCCAGUCAGAACCUUGAAAACUGCAUAAGAGAAAGAGAAAAAGCACCGCAGACACAGACAUUUAGAUGGAUGUGGAAGCAAAAGAAAUUGUGGUCAAGCUAAUAAGGGC
This 284-nucleotide unclassified non-coding RNA is filed under the name Pseudanabaena sp. NRERC-305. Its description in RNAcentral is "partial 16S-23S ribosomal RNA intergenic spacer". Lineage: Bacteria; Bacillati; Cyanobacteriota; Cyanophyceae; Pseudanabaenales; Pseudanabaenaceae. The record is from RNAcentral.